Molecule: long non-coding RNA, 924 nt
Organism: Zalophus californianus (California sea lion)
Lineage: Eukaryota; Metazoa; Chordata; Mammalia; Carnivora; Otariidae
Exons: 3
Source: RefSeq, a predicted model, not a curated record
CACAGCUCCAUGAAGUUGUCUGGGGCCCCAGGAGCCCUCUGCUCCGUGUGUCCACAUUUGUGUCCGAGAUGGUCGUGCCCGCUGUCCUUUCCUCUCAGCCACAGCAUGCCGCCUGGCACGGGGAUGGUGUUCCAGGCUGCGGGAAGGGGAAAGAGAACACGGAAGGCGAGAAACUUUAUUGUGAAACUCAGGAAGCAGAAGUUACACACAUCACUUCUACUCAUGGCCCAAAUGUCAUCAGUUCCGGAGGCCAGAUGUCCAAAAUCAAUAUCACUGGGCUGGAAUCAAGGUGUGAGGGUGGGUCUCCCUGUGGGAGCUCCCAGAGGAGGAUGCCUUCCUUGCCUCUUGCAACUUCUGAUGCCCGCCAGCCUUCUGGCCUUCCAUGAUUUGUGGCCACAUCACUCCAUUCCCUGCCUCUGGAAUCGGAUUGCCUUCUCUUCUGCCCAGAACUCUCUACACCCAACGUGGGCCUCGAACCUACAACCCCAAAAUCAAGAGUCGCAUGCUCUAUGGACCAAGCCAGCCAGGCGCUCCUCAAAUUCCUGAAAAUUUGAUUGUGCACUUGAAGAGAUUAAAAGAUUCAAAGAGGGACUAAAGAAGUGAACAGUGAUGAAGCAAUGUCUCCCGGUAACUAUAAAAUUAUCUACAGUUCCCACAGAGGUCUCCCUCCCCGACCAUACAUCUAGCUAGCAUUGGAUGUAACUUCUGUUAGUACUUAACACAUUUCCAGCAAGUUGUACAAAGGUCUAUACCAAGUUGUGAUAUUUGUCGACUAACAUUGUUGUAGUAAUUGUCUGUCACAUCGUACCAAAAGUACAUUUUACACAUUAUUCUGAGCUCAUCCACCUGUGCAGGGUCUGCAGUCCAUCACUUGCUCAUCCAUGUGCUGGUCUAUUGUCUGUCAGUCUUCUGACACUUGGCUUG